RNAcentral lists this ribosomal RNA (253 nucleotides) under uncultured bacterium. RNAcentral describes it as "partial 16S ribosomal RNA". It matches the Rfam family "Bacterial small subunit ribosomal RNA", at positions 524 to 776 of the family's 1533-position model. The record is from RNAcentral.
UACGAAGGGUGCAAACGUUGCUCGGAAUCAUUGGGCGUAAAGCGCACGUAGGCGGCUUUGCAAGUCGGACGUGAAAUCCCUCAGCUCAACUGAGGAAGUGCAUCCGAAACUGCAAGGCUUGAGUACUGAAGAGGAUCGCGGAAUUCCUGGUGUAGCGGUGAAAUGCGCAGAUAUCAGGAAGAACACCCGUGGCGAAGGCGGCUCUCUGGGACGGUACUGACGCUGAGACGCGAAAGCGUGGGGAGCGAACAGG